UAAUUUCAGAAGGAAAAACCAAGUCAGAAACCAGAAUAAACAGAACCAUAAGAUCAAUAGAAAGUUCUGAUAACCGUGACUAACAUGCUACACAACUACAUAAGGCAGUUAUUCAGAUGAGGUAAAUGUAAUCUAUUAAAGAUGAACCAAAAACCAGCCAUUCAUGCAUGUCCAUCAAAUUAGAAAGAGAAUCAGCUUACAGAGAGGAACUUCUUCAGAUCUCUUCCUGAUGCGAUAUCUCGAAGGACAGCAAAACCCCAAUUGAUCUCACUCCUGAGUGCAUCAGCUACCUGAAGAACAGGCUCCUCAGGGAUAUAAACUUCUGGAAUACGUGGUGGGCUCCUAAAGUCAAAUAAAACGGUUUAGAUUAUACCUCAAAUCCAGAUACUUGAGAGCAUUAGCAGUACAAAGUACCAAAAACCCACUUGUUGAUAAAGGUGGAGGCAUUUGACCACAAGAACAGUACAGCGAGAGAAAGGAUCAAUCCAUGGCAUAUCAGAGUGAGAAGAUGAUAUUCAAUCAAUUCGAACAGAACCCAUAUAGCAGUUGCACCACCAAGCA
This 561-nucleotide long non-coding RNA is filed under the name Jatropha curcas. Its description in RNAcentral is "long non-coding RNA (JCUR_LNC002850)". The record is from RNAcentral. Lineage: Eukaryota; Viridiplantae; Streptophyta; Magnoliopsida; Malpighiales; Euphorbiaceae.